CCCUUAGAUGUUCUGGGCCGCACGCGUGCUACACUGAUGCAUUCAACGAGUCUAAAACCUGGUCUGAUAGGGCUGGGUAAUCUUUUGAAAGUGCAUCGUGAUUGGGAUAGAUGGUUGCAAUUCUUCAUCUUCAACGAGGAAUGCCUAGUAAACGCAAGUCAUCAGCUUGCAUUGAUUACGUCCCUGCCCUUUGUACACACCGCCCGUCGCUCCUACCGAUUGAAUGAUCCGAUGAAUACCAUGGAUUGAGAGUACGAAUAGGUUCGCUUAUUUCUGCUGCUCGAGAAGUGGAGUAAAUCUUAUCAUUUAGAGGAAGGAGAAGUCGUAACA
Molecule: ribosomal RNA, 330 nt
Filed under: uncultured eukaryote
Lineage: Eukaryota
Description: partial 18S ribosomal RNA
Rfam family: Eukaryotic small subunit ribosomal RNA
Source: RNAcentral